Molecule: long non-coding RNA, 607 nt
Organism: Vicia villosa (hairy vetch)
Lineage: Eukaryota; Viridiplantae; Streptophyta; Magnoliopsida; Fabales; Fabaceae
Exons: 2
Source: RefSeq, a predicted model, not a curated record
AAGAAAACAAACACAACACACUAUUACAAAUUUAAAUUGCAAAGUCUUCUAUUUAAUUAUUUAUAAGAGAGCAUGAACUUCUUUCUCAAACUUCUCUAUUUUUUUAUUUUAUAUUGUUCCUUAAUUCUUAUCGCAACACAAGUGGCUGGAGUUAAAAUUGGAUGUAAAACUGAUGCUGAUUGUCCCAAAUCGGAUUCUGAUGGUGAAAUUAAUGUAUGCAAGUACGGCUAUUGUUCGGUUAAAGGGAGACGUGGGUGGAUCGAAAUUCCAUGAUAACUUUACAAAAAUGUAAGAAUGAGUUACGGUGUCAGAAAAAAAAUAAUAUAUCUUAUUAUUUAAUAUGUAAUAAACUUUUUAUAUUUUUUUUAUAAGUCAAAACUUUGCUUUUAUGAUUUUCAACUCUAAAAUGAUGGUAACACAAUAAAAUAUAAUAUUUAAAUUGUCUUAUUCCCUCAUUUAGAGUUAUUAUGAAUGUAAAUGUUUGGUACAGGAUUCAAUCCUUACCUUAAUUUUAAUUUAUGUUUAUGUACUAAUGUCAAUAAGUUUUUGAUAUAUAUAAAUCAAGAACAUUAAAUAAAAAUUUAUUUAAUUUAUAAUAUAUUUCCAA